This 108-nucleotide ribosomal RNA is filed under the name Microcebus murinus (gray mouse lemur). The record is from RNAcentral. Lineage: Eukaryota; Metazoa; Chordata; Mammalia; Primates; Cheirogaleidae.
GUCUAUGGCCAUACCAUCCUGAACACACCCGAUCUCGUCUGAUCUCAGAAGCUAAGCAGGGUUGGGCCUGGUUAGUACUUAGAUGGGAGAAAACAUGCACCAUGGGAC